AGUGAACGCUGGCGGUAGGCCUAACACAUGCAAGUCGAACGGCAGCACAGUAAGAGCUUGCUCUUACGGGUGGCGAGUGGCGGACGGGUGAGGAAUACAUCGGAAUCUACUUUUUCGUGGGGGAUAACGUAGGGAAACUUACGCUAAUACCGCAUACGCCCUACGGGUGAAAGCAGGGGAUCUUCGGACCUUGCGCGAUUGAAUGAGCCGAUGUCGGAUUAGCUAGUUGGCGGGGUAAAGGCCCACCAUGGCGGCGAUCCGUAGCUGGUCUGAGAGGAGGGUCGGCCGCACUAGAACUUAGACACGGUCCAGACUCCUACGGGAGGCAGCAGUGGGGAAUAUUAGACAAUGGGCGCAAGCCUGAUCCAGCCAUACCGCGUGGGUGAAGAAGGCCUUCGGGUUGUAAAGCCCUUUUGUGGGGAAAGAAAAGCAGCAGGUUAAUACCCCGCUGUUCUGACGGUACCCAAAGAAUAAGCACCGGCUAACUUCGUG
This 492-nucleotide ribosomal RNA is filed under the name uncultured bacterium. RNAcentral describes it as "partial 16S ribosomal RNA". It matches the Rfam family "Bacterial small subunit ribosomal RNA", at positions 29 to 507 of the family's 1533-position model. The record is from RNAcentral.